AAGGCGAAAAGAACCCCGGCGAGGGGAGUGAAAAAGAACCUGAAACCGUGUACGUACAAGCAGUGGGAGCACGCUUAGGCGUGUGACUGCGUACCUUUUGUAUAAUGGGUCAGCGACUUAUAUUCUGUAGCAAGGUUAACCGAAUAGGGGAGCCGAAGGGAAACCGAGUCUUAACUGGGCGUUAAGUUGCAGGGUAUAGACCCGAAACCCGGUGAUCU
Molecule: ribosomal RNA, 218 nt
Filed under: Escherichia coli
Lineage: Bacteria; Pseudomonadati; Pseudomonadota; Gammaproteobacteria; Enterobacterales; Enterobacteriaceae
Description: partial 23S ribosomal RNA
Rfam family: Bacterial large subunit ribosomal RNA
Source: RNAcentral